GCCUCCGUGGUCUAGUUGGUCAUGACGCCGGUCUCAUAACCUCAGUAUGACGAGUAGAAUCACUGCUUGGCAAUCCGGAGGUCACCAGUUCGAACCUGGUCGGGGGCA
Emydomyces testavorans is the source of this 108-nucleotide non-coding RNA. Lineage: Eukaryota; Fungi; Ascomycota; Eurotiomycetes; Onygenales; Nannizziopsiaceae. The record is from the annotation of a GenBank genome assembly.